RNAcentral lists this long non-coding RNA (226 nucleotides) under Ananas comosus (pineapple). RNAcentral describes it as "long non-coding RNA (ACOM_LNC003068)". Lineage: Eukaryota; Viridiplantae; Streptophyta; Magnoliopsida; Poales; Bromeliaceae. The record is from RNAcentral.
UUUGAAAAUAAGUUUUCAAUUGAAAAAGUUUUAAACUAAUAGAUAUGGAUUUAUGAAUAUCUGUGAUGAAUGUGAAUGGUGUUUGUAUGUCGAUGUUCAUACUUGUAGUUGUAUCUUGUACUUGUGCGACGCCAUGUAAAUACAGGGAAGACUCUGCCCGUAUGAACAGUGGAUACCCUGUAUUUGUGGAGGAUCUGACAUCCUCUGGGGUCAAGUUUUUAAAAAA